This 378-nucleotide ribosomal RNA is filed under the name uncultured bacterium. RNAcentral describes it as "bacterial SSU rRNA". It matches the Rfam family "Bacterial small subunit ribosomal RNA", at positions 523 to 898 of the family's 1533-position model. The record is from RNAcentral.
AAACGUAGGACGCAAGCGUUAUCCGGAAUUACUGGGCGUAAAGCGCGUGUAGGCGGUUUUGUAAGUCACUUGUGAAAGCUCAUGGCUAAACUGUGAGAGGUCAGGUGAUACUGCAAGGCUAGAGGGCAGUAGAGGGGUGCGGAAUUCCGGGUGUAGUGGUGAAAUGCGUAGAUAUCCGGAGGAACACCAGAGGCGAAGGCGGCGCCCUGGACUGUGCCUGACGCUGAGACGCGAAAGCAUGGGUAGCGAACGGGAUUAGAGACCCCGGUAGUCCAUGCCGUAAACGAUGCACACUAGAUGUUCGUCUGGUACUGCCAGAUGAGCGUCGCAGCUAACGCGAUAAGUGUGCCGCCUGGGGAGUACGGUCGCAAGGCUAAA